CUGGAGGUAUCAGAAGUGCGAAUGCUGACAUAAGUAACGAUAAAGCGGGUGAAAAGCCCGCUCGCCGGAAGACCAAGGGUUCCUGUCCAACGUUAAUCGGGGCAGGGUGAGUCGACCCCUAAGGCGAGGCCGAAAGGCGUAGUCGAUGGGAAACAGGUUAAUAUUCCUGUACUUGGUGUUACUGCGAAGGGGGGACGGAGAAGGCUAUGUUGGCCGGGCGACGGUUGUCCCGGUUUAAGCGUGUAGGCUGGUUUUCCAGGCAAAUCCGGAAAAUCAAGGCUGAGGCGUGAUGACGAGGCACUACGGUGCUGAAGCAACAAAUGCCCUGCUUCCAGGAAAAGCCUCUAAGCAUCAGGUAACAUCAAAUCGUACCCCAAACCGACACAGGUGGUCAGGUAGAGAAUACCAAGGCGCUUGAGAGAACUCGGGUGAAGGAACUAGGCAAAAUGGUGCCGUAACUUCGGGAGAAGGCACGCUGAUAUGUAGGUGAAGCGACUUGCUCGUGGAGCUGAAAUCAGUCGAAGAUACCAGCUGGCUGCAACUGUUUAUUAAAAACACAGCACUGUGCAAACACGAAAGUGGACGUAUACGGUGUGACGCCUGCCCGGUGCCGGAAGGUUAAUUGAUGGGGUCAGCGCAAGCGAAGCUCUUGAUCGAAGCCCCGGUAAACGGCGGCCGUAACUAUAACGGUCCUAAGGUAGCGAAAUUCCUUGUCGGGUAAGUUCCGACCUGCACGAAUGGCGUAAUGAUGGCCAGGCUGUCUCCACCCGAGACUCAGUGAAAUUGAACUCGCUGUGAAGAUGCAGUGUACCCGCGGCAAGACGGAAAGACCCCGUGAACCUUUACUAUAGCUUGACACUGAACAUUGAGCCUUGAUGUGUAGGAUAGGUGGGAGGCUUUGAAGUGUGGACGCCAGUCUGCAUGGAGCCGACCUUGAAAUACCACCCUUUAAUGUUUGAUGUUCUAACGUGGACCCGUGAUCCGGGUUGCGGACAGUGUCUGGUGGGUAGUUUGACUGGGGCGGUCUCCUCCUAAAGAGUAACGGAGGAGCACGAAGGUUGGCUAAUCCUGGUCGGACAUCAGGAGGUUAGUGCAAUGGCAUAAGCCAGCUUGACUGCGAGCGUGACGGCGCGAGCAGGUGCGAAAGCAGGUCAUAGUGAUCCGGUGGUUCUGAAUGGAAGGGCCAUCGCUCAACGGAUAAAAGGUACUCCGGGGAUAACAGGCUGAUACCGCCCAAGAGUUCAUAUCGACGGCGGUGUUUGGCACCUCGAUGUCGGCUCAUCACAUCCUGGGGCUGAAGUAGGUCCCAAGGGUAUGGCUGUUCGCCAUUUAAAGUGGUACGCGAGCUGGGUUUAGAACGUCGUGAGACAGUUCGGUCCCUAUCUGCCGUGGGCGCUGGAGAACUGAGGGGGGCUGCUCCUAGUACGAGAGGACCGGAGUGGACGCAUCACUGGUGUUCGGGUUGUCAUGCCAAUGGCACUGCCCGGUAGCUAAAUGCGGAAGAGAUAAGUGCUGAAAGCAUCUAAGCACGAAACUUGCC
This 1540-nucleotide ribosomal RNA is filed under the name Escherichia coli. RNAcentral's name for it is "partial 23S ribosomal RNA". It matches the Rfam family "Bacterial large subunit ribosomal RNA", at positions 1273 to 2798 of the family's 2925-position model. Lineage: Bacteria; Pseudomonadati; Pseudomonadota; Gammaproteobacteria; Enterobacterales; Enterobacteriaceae. The record is from RNAcentral.